Molecule: ribosomal RNA, 253 nt
Filed under: uncultured bacterium
Lineage: Bacteria
Description: partial 16S ribosomal RNA
Rfam family: Bacterial small subunit ribosomal RNA
Source: RNAcentral
UACGGAGGGUGCGAGCGUUGUUCGGAAUUACUGGGCGUAAAGGGCGCGUAGGCGGUGCGUCAAGUCAGGCGUGAAAGCCCCGGGCUCAACCUGGGAACCGCGCUUGAGACUGGCACGCUAGAGUUCGGGAGAGGAUGGUGGAAUUCCCAGUGUAGAGGUGAAAUUCGUAGAUAUUGGGAAGAACACCGAUGGCGAAGGCAGCCAUCUGGACCGACACUGACGCUGAGGCGCGAAAGCGUGGGGAGCAAACAGG